GACGAACGCUGGCGGCGUGCUUAAUACAUGCAAGUCGAGCGAGGUUACUGUUUUGGAUCCCUUCGGGGUGAAGAAGCUUUAACCUAGCGGCGGACGGGUGAGUAACGCGUGGGUAACCUACCCCAAAGUCCGGGAUAACAGCGGGAAACCGCUGCUAAUACCGGAUGCCUUUACCUUGGGGCAUCUUGAGGUAAAGAAAGGUAACGCUUUGGGAUGGGCCCGCGUCCCAUUAGCUAGUUGGUGAGGUAACGGCUCACCAAGGCGACGAUGGGUAGCCGGCCUGAGAGGGUGGACGGCCACACUGGGACUGAGACACGGCCCAGACUCCUACGGGAGGCAGCAGUAGGGAAUAUUGCGCAAUGGACGGAAGUCUGACGCAGCGACGCCGCGUGAGCGAUGAGGGUCUUCGGAUCGUAAAAGCUCUGUCCUUGGGGAAGAAGGCGAAAGCUUGACGGUACCCAAGAAGAAAGCCCCGGCUAACUACGUG
RNAcentral lists this ribosomal RNA (487 nucleotides) under uncultured bacterium. RNAcentral describes it as "bacterial SSU rRNA". It matches the Rfam family "Bacterial small subunit ribosomal RNA", at positions 28 to 507 of the family's 1533-position model. The record is from RNAcentral.